RNAcentral lists this ribosomal RNA (265 nucleotides) under uncultured bacterium. RNAcentral's name for it is "partial 16S ribosomal RNA". It matches the Rfam family "Bacterial small subunit ribosomal RNA", at positions 793 to 1055 of the family's 1533-position model. The record is from RNAcentral.
GUCCACGCCGUAAACGAUGAGCACUAGGUGUCGCGGGUAUUGACCCCUGCGGUGCCGACGCUAACGCAUUAAGUGCUCCGCCUGGGGACUACGGCCGCAAGGUUAAAACUCAAAGGAAUUGACGGGGGCCCGCACAAGCGGUGGAGCAUGUGGUUCAAUUCGACGCAACGCGAAGAACCUUACCUGGGCUAGACAACGGAGGCCCGCCCCAGAGAUGGGGCUUUCCCUUCGGGGACUUCCGGUUCAGGUGCUGCAUGGCUGUCGU